RNAcentral lists this ribosomal RNA (478 nucleotides) under uncultured bacterium. RNAcentral describes it as "bacterial SSU rRNA". It matches the Rfam family "Bacterial small subunit ribosomal RNA", at positions 28 to 502 of the family's 1533-position model. The record is from RNAcentral.
GAUGAACGCUAGCGGCAGGCUUAACACAUGCAAGUCGAGGGGCAACACGGGUAGCAAUACCUGGUGGCGACCGGCGCAAGGGUGCGUAACGCGUGAGCAACAUGCCCUAUACAGGGGGAUAAUCCAGGGAAACUUGGUCUAAUAUCCCAUAGUAUUUAGAGGUGGCAUCACCACUAAAUUAAAGCUUCGGUGGUAUAGGAUUGGCUCGCGUGACAUUGGCUGGAUGGUGGGGUAACGGCUCACCAUGGCGAUGAUGUCUAGGGGUUCUGAGAGGAAGACCCCCCAACUGGGACUGAGACACGGCCCAGACUCCUACGGGAGGCAGCAGUGAGGAAUAUUGGACAAUGGAUGGAAAUCUGAUCCAGCCAUGCCGCGUGCAGGAAGACGGCCCUAUGGGUUGUAAACUGCUUUUAUAUGGGAGCAAUAAGGUUUACGCGUAGACCGAUGAGAGUACCAUAUGAAUAAGCAUCGGCUAACU